This 512-nucleotide long non-coding RNA is filed under the name Manacus vitellinus (golden-collared manakin). RNAcentral describes it as "lncRNA (ENSMVIG00005009944.1)". Lineage: Eukaryota; Metazoa; Chordata; Aves; Passeriformes; Pipridae. The record is from RNAcentral.
CAGAUGUACACCAGGCCUGGGUCACCCCUAACAGAAGAUACCCUAAAACUGAGAAAAACAGGCAAUUUUGGGAGUGAGUGAAAUGAGGAUGCCUUGGUGCCCACCUCUGCUGGCCUCCCACUGUGGGAACACCAGUCUUGUAUCCUGGGAAUUCUGUGGGCAGCUUCUGAAGCCAGUCUCCAUGGGAAGAAAACCUCCAGAGCGUGGAAGAUCUUGUGUUUGAAUCCUGAGCUCCUGAUCCCUGAGAUCCUUGAGAUGAGCUGGAGAUGGGCUCUGCCAUCAUCUGUUUGCAAUCACAAAGAGGAAGCUUCUGAAGCUUGGGAAUGAGAGAAAAUGAAGUGUCCUGACACAACUUCAAAACAUCCAGAAUGCUCUUGGAGGUUUUCCCAUCGCUGUUUCUGUCAGAUCUCCUCUGAAAACAGUCUCACUGAAGGGAGGUUCAGAUCAGCAACACGGACCAGAAGAGUGUCCAGAGAUCAGAACAGCAGUAGCAGUUGGCCUUGAGGAUGAAU